Molecule: ribosomal RNA, 549 nt
Filed under: uncultured bacterium
Lineage: Bacteria
Description: bacterial SSU rRNA
Rfam family: Bacterial small subunit ribosomal RNA
Source: RNAcentral
UAGGGAAUCUUCCACAAUGGGUGCAAACCUGAUGGAGCAAUGCCGCGUGAGUGAAGAAGGUCUUCGGAUCGUAAAGCUCUGUUGUUAGAGAAGAACACGUGCUAGGUAACUACUAGCGCCUUGACGGUAUCUAACCAGAAAGUCACGGCUAACUACGUGCCAGCAGCCGCGGUAAUACGUAGGCGACAAGCGUUGUCCGGAUUUAUUGGGCGUAAAGGGAGCGCAGGCGGUCUGUUUAGUCUAAUGUGAAAGCCCACGGCUUAACCGUGGAACGGCAUUGGAAACUGACAGACUUGAAUGUAGAAGAGGAAAAUGGAAUUCCAAGUGUAGCGGUGGAAUGCGUAGAUAUUUGGAGGAACACCAGUGGCGAAGGCGAUUUUCUGGUCUAACAUUGACGCUGAGGCUCGAAAGCGUGGGGAGCGAACAGGAUUAGAUACCCUGGUAGUCCACGCCGUAAACGAUGAGUGCUAAGUGUUGGGGGCUUUCCGGCCCUCGGUGCUGGAGCUAACGUAUUAAGCACUCCGCCUGGGGAUUACGACCGCAAGGUUG